Molecule: transfer RNA, 71 nt
Filed under: Heterocephalus glaber (naked mole-rat)
Lineage: Eukaryota; Metazoa; Chordata; Mammalia; Rodentia; Bathyergidae
Rfam family: tRNA
About the family: Transfer RNA (tRNA) molecules are approximately 80 nucleotides in length. Their secondary structure includes four short double-helical elements and three loops (D, anti-codon, and T loops).
Source: Rfam by way of RNAcentral
GGGGCUGUAGCUCAGUGGCAGAGCUCUUGCUGAGCACGGAAAAACCUGGGGUUCAAUCCCCUGCACCCCUC